RNAcentral lists this long non-coding RNA (233 nucleotides) under Bos taurus (domestic cattle). Its description in RNAcentral is "long non-coding RNA NONBTAT017490". The record is from RNAcentral. Lineage: Eukaryota; Metazoa; Chordata; Mammalia; Artiodactyla; Bovidae.
AUUAGAGUUCAAAAUGAAGCAAGUCAACAAAGAAAAAAAGAUAAUCUCUCAGAUGGGUUUUAAAAGAUUAAAUGAUUCACCAUCAGAAUUUUAAAAUGAAAGAUUCUUUUUUGAAAUAACAUAUAUGCCUCUGUAUAUUUAAUGAUCGGUGAAUGAUCUCUUUAAGAUCACCUAGAUUUUUCCUCUCCAUCACCACGGCCUCAUGUAAACUAUCAGAGUCUCCUACUUAGAAU